UACAGGGGGUGCAAGCGUUGCUCGGAAUUACCGGGCGUAAAGCGUGCGCAGGCGGUCCUGCAAGUCGGGGGUGAAAACCCGGGGCUCAACCCCGGAAUUGCCUCCGAAACUGCCGGACUUGAGUACGAGAGAGGGUUGCGGAAUUCUUGGUGUAGAGGUGAAAUUCGUAGAUAUCAGGAAGAACACCAGUGGCGAAAGCGGCAACCUGGCUCGAUACUGACGCUCAUGCACGAAAGCGUGGGGAGCAAACAGG
Molecule: ribosomal RNA, 253 nt
Filed under: uncultured bacterium
Lineage: Bacteria
Description: partial 16S ribosomal RNA
Rfam family: Bacterial small subunit ribosomal RNA
Source: RNAcentral